AAUAUAGCAAAUUAACCUGACGAUAUCGGGAUAUGGGUAUUUAGUCGGAUCUUAACACGUACUUGUGAUUUGUUUGAAACCGGUUUUAACGAAGAAAUGUCGAAAUGUUCAGAACUUAAUUAAAUCUGUUUUUGGGUAAGAUGGUGCAAGCAUACGAUUUUUAUUGCGUCUUACACUUUGAGAAGCGAAUAAUCUUUAGCUACUUUAUUU
Molecule: long non-coding RNA, 210 nt
Filed under: Mytilus galloprovincialis (Mediterranean mussel)
Lineage: Eukaryota; Metazoa; Mollusca; Bivalvia; Mytilida; Mytilidae
Source: RNAcentral